GAUGAACGCUGGCGGCGUGCUUAACACAUGCAAGUCGAACGGAAAGGCUCCUGCUUGCAGGGGUACUCGAGUGGCGAACGGGUGAGUAACACGUGGGUGAUCUGCCCUGCACUUCGGGAUAAGCCUGGGAAACUGGGUCUAAUACCGGAUAGGACGAUGGUUUGGAUGCCAUUGUGGAAAGUUUUUCGGUGUGGGAUGAGCUCGCGGCCUAUCAGCUUGUUGGUGGGGUAAUGGCCUACCAAGGCGUCGACGGGUAGCCGGCCUGAGAGGGUGUACGGCCACAUUGGGACUGAGAUACGGCCCAGACUCCUACGGGAGGCAGCAGUGGGGAAUAUUGCACAAUGGGCGCAAGCCUGAUGCAGCGACGCCGCGUGGGGGAUGACGGCCUUCGGGUUGUAAACUCCUUUCGCUAGGGACGAAGCGUCAGUGACGGUACCUGGAGAAGAAGCACCGGCUAACUACGUGCCAGCAGCCGCGGUAAUACGUAGGGUGCGAGCGUUGUCCGGAAUUACUGGGCGUAAAGAGCUCGUAGGUGGUUUGUCGCGUCGUUUGUGUAAGCCCGCAGCUUAACUGCGGGACUGCAGGCGAUACGGGCAUAACUUGAGUGCUGUAGGGGAGACUGGAAUUCCUGGUGUAGCGGUGGAAUGCGCAGAUAUCAGGAGGAACACCGAUGGCGAAGGCAGGUCUCUGGGCAGUAACUGACGCUGAGGAGCGAAAGCAUGGGUAGCGAACA
RNAcentral lists this ribosomal RNA (733 nucleotides) under uncultured Corynebacterium sp. MT8R. Its description in RNAcentral is "bacterial SSU rRNA". It matches the Rfam family "Bacterial small subunit ribosomal RNA", at positions 28 to 774 of the family's 1533-position model. Lineage: Bacteria; Bacillati; Actinomycetota; Actinomycetes; Mycobacteriales; Corynebacteriaceae. The record is from RNAcentral.